This 126-nucleotide microRNA precursor is filed under the name Mesocricetus auratus (golden hamster). RNAcentral's name for it is "miRNA (ENSMAUG00000001939.1)". Lineage: Eukaryota; Metazoa; Chordata; Mammalia; Rodentia; Cricetidae. The record is from RNAcentral.
GGAUUCUCUGAGUAGUCUUGGCUGUCCUGGAACUCGCUCUUUAGACCAGGCUGGCCUUGAACUCAAAGAUCCGCCUGCCUCUGCCUCCCGAGUGCUGGGAUUAAAGGCAAGCGCCACUAAUGCCAG